RNAcentral lists this long non-coding RNA (6443 nucleotides) under Gossypium barbadense (sea-island cotton). Its description in RNAcentral is "long non-coding RNA (GBAR_LNC016543)". The record is from RNAcentral. Lineage: Eukaryota; Viridiplantae; Streptophyta; Magnoliopsida; Malvales; Malvaceae.
UUUCCAAUUCUCGUUGUUUAUUGAAUUCCUAACUUACAAAUGGUUUUAUUUUUACUCCAAGAAAAUUUCGUAACCUUUAGAUAUGUUUGCAGAAUGCAGGUGCAUCUUUCGAUGAGAUUCGAGUGCAUGUCAAGGGGGAAAUGUCUCAUCAUCCCUUGACUAUUUUCUUUUCCUUCCCAUAUUUUCACUCUCAUUUCUCUUGAUUCUAAGCUUUUGAAUCAAUUCAGCCAACAUUGUUUUAGCCUUAGGGGAUUCCAUAGCUUUCUCCGCAAUACCAGGUUGUAUCGGGUCUAAGAACUCUUUCACACGGUGAAUGAGCAUUUCUGAUAAUAUUUUUUCUUCCUGUUUGGGGGAUAUUUCUACUCCACUUUGUGAUAAUCCCUUGGCCACACCGAUUAGGAAUGCAUCUUCAAGCUCGUCACCAAUCUUUUUUUCUUGCUCUAGAGUAAGUUUUACGUCGGCAGCAUCUCCUACAGAGAUUGAGAGCACCAAGGCCAACGAGAAUACUACUAAAGCAAUGUUCAUUUUUUUUCAAAAAGUUAAGGUAAAAUGAAUUUGAAUUUUUUCGCUUCUAAUUCUCAAGGGAUAGAAAUGGGAUGAAAUUUAAAUAGAUGAUGAUAAGUUAUUUGCGGCAACUUUAACGGAUCUUUGACUACUUUGGUGCAAAAUUUCCCUAAACUUUUGCAACAUUAUUCAAAUGAUGUAUAAAUUAGAAUUCUGUUCUUGUCAAAUCCCCUAUUCUUGUUACGUUUGCAAAAUUAUUUCAAAUAUUUUGUUAUUGGCUUGACGGUUAAGAGAUAAUUAAGAGAUUAAAAAUUUUUUCUUGAGACUCAAGUUCAAUUCCUUACCCUUGCAUAAUGUUUAAUUUUUUUUCUAUUUUUUCUCUCAUCCUUUUCUUGUAUCGCCCCUACUUAGAAACCCUAGGUAUAAAUGCUAUUUUCUCUCUUUUCAUUUAGCUUUUCUCAUUUGUUUUCUCCCUUGUUGUCCCACACUCUCUUUUUAUCUCUACUUUCUCAAACGUUUUUCUUUUCUGUAACCGUGUGCCACCCUAUAACCUAGUUUUAUCACCAUUGUUGCAUCGCCCCUCUCCUCCUCUAUUGGUGGUGUUUUUUUGCUUUAUUACCCACCUUUCUUUCACUCUUUUGUUCAUUAUUUUUUUGCUCUUUUUUGCUUCCCAUUGCAUCCAUUUUUCUCCUCCCAUUGUCGCACAUUACAGCCCUUUGUUGCUUCCAUUUUUCUUGAAUUGUUGCCUCUCUAAGCCCUCGUCCUCUCAUUUUUUUCAUCAUUUUUGGUUGCUGAUUUGUACCCCCUUUGAUCGAAUCCGUCUAGGCUAUUGUUAGUGUUCUUUUUGAUUCUAUGAUCACUAUUCAUCACAGAUCUAAAACGGGUGAAUUGUAAGUGUUGAUUUUUAACGAGAUCUACAUCGUCUUCUUCGUUUGUUUUUAUUUUGUUCUGGUAGAAUGUGCUUGUGCCUCGGUCGAAUUUUACAUACUAAUUUUUGUGUUUUUUAAAUCUGAAAGGACCGAAUCUAAAUGUCUCGGAUCAGUGACCGUCUCCAGACGUACUAACGUUCAGAUUAUGAAUACUAAAGUAAAGUAUAUAAAUAUAUGAGGUGGUAUCCGCAAGUAUACGGGUCUAGUUGUAAUAUAGUUACAACGGACUAGGUGAGUACUCCGAGGAUCGUACCCAAGGGAUUCAAGUGCUAGAUCACUUUUAACUUAAACACUGAAUGGUCUAAUUAGUACUUUAAUUUAGCUAUAGUAUAAUAGUAAAAUAAAAGAGAGUUUUUAAAAUUUUUAUAACAGUAAAGUAAAAUAACAUAGGAAAAUUAAAUUCAAGAUAUCAAAGAGUAGAAUAAAUCAAAUCUUGAUUAUGGGUGAUUAGCUCAUUUAUGUAAUCCCCAUUAACUAUCGUUUCGGGCUCCUCGUCAAUCAACUAGUUGCCAUCCCAACAGGAUCUUCCGAUCUUCCACUCAAAUAACAAAUCAACAAGAACUACUUAUCUUCUAACCUCACAACCCAACAAGAUAGGCCAUACUAAUAUUGGGUUAAUUCUCACCUUGAUUACUUCCUAGGGUUGUCAGGCCUAGGGAUUUAAGUUAUUCCUUUCCCAAACAGCUAAUCCAUUAAGUAGCCAUACAAAACAGUUAAUGGAUCAUACCUCCACUCAUUAAUCCCCCACAAACGGAUUAGCUCAUCGUGGUUUUCAUAAACAAUAUAGAACUGAUGCAAAUAGAAAACAUGAUAAAUGAACUAGAAUGUAUAGUUUAAGAAAAUGUCUGAUUUGCAUUCAGAAUAAAUUGAAUCCACAGAGUUUGAUCGUCUCCACAAAUUAGAUCUCUUGAGAUAAACAAGAACAACUUAAAAAUAAAUCUAAAACCUAAAAAUAAAGAAAACUAAACUAAAAUUUAAAAGAGAACUUCUAAGAUAAGGCAUUAGUGUCUUUUACAUGUGAUAAAGGAGCCUAUUUAUAGAUCUUAGGUGGUCGUCAUCCUUAACUCUAGGUUUCACGGAUGUUCUUGAGCUUUAAGUUUUAUUGUGCGGACCAAAAUGCCACCUGACUCAUCUUAAUUGUUGUCCAAAGUUGAAAUCGUGACACACUAGGACCUGUGUUGCAACAUAGGAGUCAGUAUACUGCUCUUGGGAUAUCUUCAGGGGUAUGUAGCGACAUUAAACAUAAUUUUGUAAUUUCUCCAUUCUGCUCUCUAUGUUGCGACAUUAAGCAUUUUAUGUUGAGACAUAGCGACCAAUAUUUUUUUAAUAUGCCUGUUAAUGGUCUCCUACACACUUAUAAAGUUCAUUAGCUCACUCUUAGGCCUCAUUUGGCCCUAAGGUCAAUAAAAUACUCAAUUUGCAAAUUUUAUUAGAUUUAAAAAAAAAUUCUAAAACAUAAUUAAAUCCUAAUGAAAAUACUUAAUUUCAAGCUCCUAAAGUGUGAAAACUAGUUUAAUCUACUACACCUAAUUACGACAGAUCAAUCAGCAGUCACAUUGGAGCUCGUUCAUAUCUUUGUUAUAUUUUGAAAUAGAGUAAGUAGAGGUCCCAAAAUUGGGACAAAUAUGCCACUAUUAAUACUUAUUUUGGACAAACCCUAUAGGGGUGUCUAGAUGCUAUUUUUAAUCAAUUUUCAUUUAUGUUGUGUAUAGAUUCGAUUUAUAUCUAUCUACAUCUAAGGCGUGGUAGUUUCAGAUUUUUUUAGUAGUGCUGCAGAUUUGUGAAUACAAAGUGUGGGUAUUAACUUUUGUAUGUUCUGGUGUUUACUGUAAGUUGUAUGAUUGUUUAAAUGAUUUUCCAAAUGUUGUGUGUAAUUUCAAUGCAUGGUCAAAUGACAUUAUGCCAUCCAUGAAGUGGUCGGUUAUGGUAAGUAGUCGUAAGUUGGUCGAAAGCACUAAGUGACCCUCUAGUAAAUGGUUGAAUGUUAUGGGGCCUUAAGACAAGGUAACCGAUUGUGUAAGUAUCUUACAUAUGGGCUGAUUGUGUGUUGUUCUAUUGGAUGGCUAAAUGCAUGCCAUUUCGUGACUUGUACCGUUAAGUAUGCUAUUCAUUAUUGUUAUCAAGUACAUGUAAACAUGUUUACUGUGUUCUAUAUUGAAUGCAUGUAUAGCAUGCUACUGGUUUUAUUGUAUAUUAUUGCAUGUACGCAUGCCAUGAAAUGUUACUAUUCUCACUGAAUACAUGUAAAGCAUGCCACCAAUGCUAUUUUGUUGAAUGUAUGCAAAGCAUACCACUGAUAUUGUUUUACUAAAUGCAUGUUAAGCAUACCACCAUAUUAAAAUCGAUACUGUCGAAGCAUGAAAUGCUUCAUUGUUUACAUUUCAUACUACGUUGAAUAGGUUUCAAAUUGAUGGGUGAUGUGUUGGAAAAAUUUUGGUUUGAAAAUGGUUUUCUUACACAGCAAAAGUUAAAAAUUUUCAAACUGACCCGAUUUUUUAUAUUUAUAGCAAUAAACCUUAGACCAAAAUCAUCCAUGUGUUUUUGGAUAAGCGGAUACUUGAUGUUUUCUGGCUUUCAACCAAAUGUUCUUCUCCACUACUCUCGUACCAUGAAUUGCUUUGAAUGUGGGCUUUAAUCAAUUGAAUCGAAACACAGAACCAGAAAAAGUUUAUUCUCUUUUAUUUGGGAUGAGAAUGCAAAUUCUCUCUUUUUUAAUAGAAACUAGUUGAAUUGUUAUUUUGGAAAAAUAUAUCUAAUAAUUGAAAACAAAUUCUCUCUAUUUUUCAACGGAGUAACAGUUUCUCAAAGUUGCGUAAAUAGCUCUACCAAUUCCAUCUAUUUAUAGGGAAAGAAGUGACCGCCUCUGGGCGCACUAACGUCCAGAGUGUGAAUACUACAAUAAAAUAUAGAAUGACAAGGCGGUAUCCGCAAGUAUACUAUUUGAGUUGCAAUAUAGUUUGUUUACAACGAAACACAUCGUAAGUAUUUCGAGGAUCGUACCCAAUGGAUUAUAAUUUGGGGAAAACUAUUAUCAAGCCAAUUAUAGGAAAUAAUUACUAAUCUACUCGAGUUACAGAUUAGUAGUGUUAAUCAAGAAGCAAUAUGAUAAUAAGAAGAAAUUAAAUAAAUUUAACUAAACCUAAAUCCACUCCUAGGUUCUUGUAUGACUUUUUCUAUUCCUUGUUUUGACUAUGCAAGUUCCUUUAAACCUAGAUCUAAUUGUUUUACCGAAUUAAUUAUUGAAGUAGUGUUCUAAUCAAUCAAGUAGUCGAUACCCCAGUAGGAUCUUUUGAUCUUCCACUAGAAUAACGAGUUAGCAAGAACUACUUCUCUUCCGACCUAACAGUCCAGACCGGGUCGGGGUUAAGGUGCUCACAUACAGACCAUACCAAUUUUGGGUUAAUUCCCACCUAAAUGACUUCCUAAGGUUGUCAAGCCUCAGGUUUGUUUCAUGUUCUUCCAUUCCCAAACAAUUGAUCCGCUAAGAAACUCUAUUAUUCAAGCAAUUAAUUAAGUUAAAGCAAUAGAAACAUGCAAAAUAUGUAGAAAGCAUAUAUCGAUUUUAAUCUUUACACAAACAUUCAUCUAACAAUGUUAAAAAAAAGAAAUAAAAAGAAGACAAUAAGGAAAAGAGAUGCUAAUGGAUUUAUUGAUGAAAGCAUGGUUUUAGAACAAUCUCCCAUCGCGGAAGUCUCAAUUCAGAAUAAGAUCUUUUGAUUAUAAGAACAUAAAAUAACCUAAGUAAAAACUAAGAAUGAAAGAAAAAACUAAGAAUUAAAAACCCUAAAAUUGUAUGUUUAAACUAAUUAUAAUAGCCUUUAUAUAGGCUAACCUUAGAAUAUUAAAGUGCGUCAAUUAUCCUUGAACUCCUUAGAGUUUGACCGGGACAAAUACAUCUAAUUUCCCUCCCAAACAUAAUUAAAAUGUGUAAGAGUUUUUGGGCUACGCAAGGGGUUGGUUGCAACACAGGCCUGCAGUGUUGCAACAUUAGAGUCCGAUGUCUAAAUUUAAAGCAUGAAAGAUUACAAUAUCUAAAUUUGUGAAUAUUUAAAGAUAAAGGAAAGAAAUACACACUUGUAGAAAGACUUGUCAAAUUUCGAGCAAACUUAUUUUGAAUUGAGGUCUGAUAGGAAUUGUUUUAGUUUCAGCUUGUUCUAUUCAAAACCAAAGUAAAACGUAUAAUGUUUAUAAAAAAUUAUAUUACGCUUUUUCCAAAUGCAAUGAUGCUAAGUUUUGCCUUAAAUGUGGGAAGUAUUUGAUCCAUUAUGUGUUGAAGGAUGGAUUCAAUUAGCAUUUGGGCAUAAUAUUAGGGAACUAGAUCUUGAUUUGAGUGUUCCCACGGAGCUUUACAUAGAGAUGCCUUAUAGGUUGUUUUAAAUAAUUUGAGAUAGAGAGGUGAGGUGAGGUUAAAUGAGAACAUUGAUAAUUGAAACUAAAAUUGUUUGUUAAUAUGCAAAGUGAAGUUUCUCAUAAAAUAAAAGAAAUUUGUAUUGCUUUAGAAGUAUCGAACUUCCAAAAACAAAUGGGGCCGAAAAUCUAUGAUCGAUCCUAUAGUAACAUUAAACAAAACUAUAAGAGUUUUCUUUUGUCAUUAUAGUCAAUGUAUCUUUGAUAUUUAAUAGAGGAAUCGAUUUUUUCUGAUGGACUGAAUGCCUUAGUGAAAGUCCUAAAGUGUCCCUUAAUUAAAUGGAUAGCUACAUAUACAUAGAGUAAUAUUUAUGAAAGAACCAUCACAUUCAAUUUUGAAUACAAUAUCAAUUAAAUUUCCAAUUCUCGUUGUUUAUUGAUUUUCUAACUUACAAAUGGUUUUAUUUUUACUCUAAGAAAAUUUCGUAACCUUUAGAUAUAUUUGCAGAAUGCAGGUGCAUCUUUCGAUGAGAUUCGAGUGCAUGUCAAGGGGGAAAUGUCUCAUCAUCCCUUGACUAUUUUCUUUUCCUUCCCAUAUUUUCACUCUCAUUUCUCUUGAUUCUAAGCUUUUGAAUCAAUUCAGCCAACAUUGUUUUAGCCUUA